AAGAAAGCUGAAGAGGCUAUUUCUGCAUCCAAGGAAAUUGAGAAGACGGUAGAGGAACUUACUAUUGAGCUGAUUGCUACAAAGGAAUCCUUAGAGUCUGCACAUGCUGCCCAUCUGGAGGCAGAGGAACAAAGAAUAGGAGCAGCUAUGGCCAGGGAGCAAGAUUCUCUGUAUUGGGAAAAGGAAUUGAAGCAGGCAGAAGAGGAGCUCCAGAAACUUAACCAACAAAUUCUUUCAGCAAAAGAUCUCAAAUCAAAAUUGGCAACUGCUUCAGCUUUGUUACUUGAUCUAAAAGCAGAAUUAGCAGCUUAUAUGGAAUCUAAGUUACAGGAGGAAACUGGUCAAGGAAACACAAUAGCUGAGCAGGAGGAACCACAAAAGAGAACUCACACUGACAUACAAGCAGC
Molecule: unclassified non-coding RNA, 407 nt
Filed under: Hevea brasiliensis (rubber tree)
Lineage: Eukaryota; Viridiplantae; Streptophyta; Magnoliopsida; Malpighiales; Euphorbiaceae
Source: RNAcentral